AGCAGUAGCCGCGGGAAUACGAAGGGUGCAAGCGUUACUCGGAUUUACUGGGCGUAAAGCGCACGUAGGCGGAUCGAUCAGUCAGGGGUGAAAUCCCAGAGCUCAACUCUGGAACUGCCUUUGAUACUGUCGAUCUGGAGUAUGGAAGAGGUGAGUGGAAUUCCGAGUGUAGCAGUGAAAUGCGUAGAUAUGUGGAGGAACACCGAUGGCGAAGGCAGCCUCCUGGGCCAAUACUGACGCUCAUGCACGAAAGCGUGGUGAGCAAACAGGAUUAGAUACCCCCGUAGUCCCUGUCUCUUAUAC
Molecule: ribosomal RNA, 303 nt
Filed under: uncultured bacterium
Lineage: Bacteria
Description: partial 16S ribosomal RNA
Rfam family: Bacterial small subunit ribosomal RNA
Source: RNAcentral